UGGUAGUNCACGCCGUAAACGAUGAGUGCUAGGUGUUAGGCCCUUUCCGGGGCUUAGUGCCGCAGCUAACGCAUUAAGCACUCCGCCUGGGGAGUACGACCGCAAGGUUGAAACUCAAAGGAAUUGACGGGGGCCCGCACAAGCGGUGGAGCAUGUGGUUUAAUUCGAAGCAACGCGAAGAACCUUACCAGGUCUUGACAUCCCUCUGACCGCUCUAGAGAUAGAGUUUUCCUUCGGGACAGAGGUGACAGGUGGUGCAUGGUUGUCGUCAGCUCGUGUCGUGAGAUGUUGGGUUAANNNNNNCAACGAGCGCAACCCCUAUUGUUAGUUGCCAUCAUUGAGUUGGGCACUCUAGCGGGACUGCCGGUAAUAAACCGGAGGAAGGUGGGGAUGACGUCAAAUCAUCAUGCCCCUUAUGACCUGGGCUACACACGUGCUACAAUGGCUGGUACAACGAGUCGCAAGCCGGUGACGGCAAGCUAAUCUCUGAAAGCCAGUCUCAGUUCGGAUUGUAGGCUGCAACUCGCCUACAUGAAGUCGGAAUCGCUAGUAAUCGCGGAUCAGCACGCCGCGGUGAAUACGUUCCCGGGCCUU
RNAcentral lists this ribosomal RNA (594 nucleotides) under uncultured bacterium. Its description in RNAcentral is "bacterial SSU rRNA". It matches the Rfam family "Bacterial small subunit ribosomal RNA", at positions 788 to 1382 of the family's 1533-position model. The record is from RNAcentral.